This 1203-nucleotide ribosomal RNA is filed under the name Triticum aestivum (bread wheat). RNAcentral's name for it is "partial small subunit ribosomal RNA". Lineage: Eukaryota; Viridiplantae; Streptophyta; Magnoliopsida; Poales; Poaceae. The record is from RNAcentral.
AUGGUCAGAUACUACCCAUACAUUGGUCGGAUAAUGGCUAGUAGCCAGACUAUACGAGCUCAUCGUACUGCGGCCGUCGUGCCUCUACGGCUCAGCUGGGCACGUCACUAUGCCCGCGGGCCUCCGCCAAUGACCGCUCGAGCCUCUCCUCGCGCCCGCAGCCGUGUCCAACUCCGGCCCUGCAUCGCUCCACCUUCCUGCAACUGUGCCACCGCCUACUUCUUCUACAGACUGCUGCUGCGCUCACUGCAGGAGUUCAAGCUCGUCUCCACUCGUGCAGUGGGCAACACAGCGCCGCGCCGCCCCUCGCGCGCCUUCGCGGCCGGCUGCGCGGCUCCCCGCCGCAUCUCCGCAUCGCCAGCCCCGGCCCUCCACCGCAGCGAGCUCCUCCCGCGCUGGCCGCCUCCCGCCCGGGCUGGCUGCGCGCCUGGCACCGUCCCGGCCCACUCGCCGUCCGGCUGCGCCGUGGCCGUCGCCCACCGCAGCUCUGCCGGGGGCGCCCCUGCCCGUCGCCACUCCAUCAACCGCGCCUCGCUCCCCCGUCACCAUCCCGUGCUGGAGCGCCGUCUCCCCUCCAGCGGUCGCGUGCCUUCGCGCCGCGGCUCCGCCUCGCCUCGCUCCCCCGCCACGGCGCCUGCUCCGGCUGCGCCUGCUCCACCACCAUCACCAUCCCGGCCUCCCCCGGGCCUGGCCGCGUCCGGCUCCUGCGCGCCGACUCCCGUGACCCGCCCGGUCCGAAGUCCCGCAACCCGGCCGCUCGCCGGGUCGGCUCCGCGUCCCGCCCCGGCCGGCCUGGCCGGCUUCCGGCCCUUCCGCCUCCCACGCCUCGACCGCCUCCACGCACCCGGCCGGCCUGGCCGGCCGCCGGCCCUUCCACGCCUGGCCGCCUUCUCACCCGCCUCGCCGCCUGCCGGCUCGCCGACUGCGCCACGCCGACCGUGCCGGCUUCCCCGCCACCCAGCGGCGCCUCCCACGGCCGCCUGCCAGCUUCUCCACCACCCGGGCGGACCUGGCCGGCUCAACCCAAGCCCCACGCGUGCCGGUCACCGCCGCCCGCCCGCCGGCUCCGGGCGGCUUCCUCGUUCCCCCGUGCCGACUGCGCCUGACGCGUCCCUGCCGGCUGCCGCUCCCCAGCUAGCGCGGUUGGCUGCCCCUGCGAAAGAAAAGGGGCCGGAAGAAAACAAAAGUCAAGGGCCGGCUUAA